UAGGUAGAAGGACAAAGCACGUUCCUG
Molecule: non-coding RNA, 27 nt
Filed under: Mus musculus (house mouse)
Lineage: Eukaryota; Metazoa; Chordata; Mammalia; Rodentia; Muridae
Source: RNAcentral